GAAAAUAAUGAUGGAGAUUUUAAAGUUAUUGAUGCGUCUCCUAUUAGAUCUUUGUUUUGCAAUAUGAAUCUUGAUAAUAAUGGGACUGAAGAUGAGUCAACUUUAGUUAGAAGGCGUCCCAAGAAUUCGGAGUUUUUAGAUCUUGAUGCUAAAUUUGGUAAAUGUGGGAUUAGAGAGGUCAUGACUUUAAAUAGUAUUGAGCCAAUUAUCUCGGAUUUCAAGGAAUUUGAUUAUGAUAAUUGUUCUUUAGAAGGUUGUAUUUCCUUGUUGCAAUCCGUUGUUAAUUCUCCUCAUGCUUAUAGUUAA
This 306-nucleotide ribosomal RNA is filed under the name Triticum aestivum (bread wheat). RNAcentral's name for it is "partial small subunit ribosomal RNA". Lineage: Eukaryota; Viridiplantae; Streptophyta; Magnoliopsida; Poales; Poaceae. The record is from RNAcentral.